Molecule: ribosomal RNA, 333 nt
Filed under: uncultured eukaryote
Lineage: Eukaryota
Description: partial 18S ribosomal RNA
Rfam family: Eukaryotic small subunit ribosomal RNA
Source: RNAcentral
CCCUUAGAUGUUCGGGGCCGCACGCGCGCUACACUGAAGGAAUCAACGUGUGUCUUCCCUGGCCCGGAAGGGUCGGGUAACCCGUUGAACCUCCUUCGUGCUAGGGAUUGGGGAUUGUAAUUCUUCCCCAUGAACGAGGAAUUCCCAGUAAGCGCGAGUCAUAAGCUCGCGUUGAUUACGUCCCUGCCCUUUGUACACACCGCCCGUCGCUACUACCGAUUGGAUGGUUUAGUGAGAUCCUCGGAUUGGUCCUGGCGUGGUGGGCAACUUCCGUGUCAUGGCGCCGAGAAGACGAUCGAACUUGAUCAUCUAGAGGAAGUAAAAGUCGUAACA